This 458-nucleotide ribosomal RNA is filed under the name uncultured bacterium. RNAcentral's name for it is "bacterial SSU rRNA". It matches the Rfam family "Bacterial small subunit ribosomal RNA", at positions 340 to 789 of the family's 1533-position model. The record is from RNAcentral.
UACGGAAGGCAGCAGGGGGGAAUAUUGGACAAUGGGCGCAAGCCUGAUCCAGCCAUGCCGCGUGUGUGAAGAAGGCCUUCGGGUUGUAAAGCACUUUUGUCCGGAAAGAAAAGCUUAGGGUUAAUAACCUUGAGUCAUGACGGUACCGGAAGAAUAAGCACCGGCUAACUUCGUGCCAGCAGCCGCGGUAAUACGAAGGGUGCAAGCGUUACUCGGAAUUACUGGGCGUAAAGCGUGCGUAGGUGGUUUGUUAAGUCUGAUGUGAAAGCCCUGGGCUCAACCUGGGAAUGGCAUUGGAAACUGGCUUACUAGAGUGCGGUAGAGGGGUGUGGAAUUCCCGGUGUAGCAGUGAAAUGCGUAGAUAUCGGGAGGAACAUCUGUGGCGAAGGCGACACCCUGGACCAGCACUGACACUGAGGGCACGAAAGCUGGGGAGCAAACAGGGAUUAGAUACCCGU